UAGGUAGGCUCUCAACUUCAUACAUUUGAGAGCAAGUCUUGAACGUUACAAUUUCGAGGUUUCAUCAUUUUGCUCAAAUGUUGGAGCACACAAGUAUAACGCGAACACGGUGGAAGCCACAUAUCGCGGUACAAACAAGCGUGGAAAAAACUAACUCGAAUUCCUGGGGAUACCAAAAUCGUCCACUGCAAACACGUCGUCGACGCAUCCGCCAUCUUGCUACGGUCCACAUAUCGUUGGAGGCGUAAUCCACAGUAAAAAUCAAGAUGCCACAAAAUUGCACAGCCUAUGGUGUUUGAGAGCCCAAUGUGUUGUCAUAGGAACGUGGUACUUCCUGUUUCCUUUUCUCCCAGUACGUCCUAGGAAGGACGUUCCGUUUAAAUCUAAGUUGAGGAUCCUCCGUAUACCACAUCCUUAAGAUGAUGCCACUUCUGAAGGACACAAAGGAUGCAGCCUUCCAAAACGAUUUUUGUAUGUAAACCCAGGAAGCGAUUCUCCGUCACUAUGGAAAUCUGUCAUUUAAUCUGCAUUUAAUUUAUAUAGAUUGAAAUCCUGAAGCACCCCCAAGGUCCUCCUGCCCAAGAAGGCACGCCUGGCUCGUCCGAAGUUUGACAAUGAGCAUCAAGAUGAUUCAGAAACAGUUUUGGCGAAAGUGCUGGCACUGCUGUGAGACGAAGAUUGACUCCUGUUUUUGGAGGAAGAGAAAUUCUGAAUAUGACCCCGGUGGUUGGGUUAAAGUAUUGUCUCACAACAGAGUUGAUAUUUCCAGUUUUAAAUUGCUGACAGAGAGAGAUCUAGUGAAACUGGACUCAAAUUUUAGAUAUAUAAGAUCUAGCCAUAUCCCAGAGUCGGAUCUAUCGAGUAUGAAGACUAUUGUUAGAAUAGAAAAUCAAGAUUGGAUUUACUAUGUGUGGUGGUCAAAUAUUGUUCCAUACACUUCAACAGUAUGUUUGACCCAACCCCUUUUUAUUGUCACAUACAUUACAUGUACGCUCAGCCCUGUUCUAAGGUCACUCUCAUCCUGCACAGGUGAUUCUCUUCUCUAUACUAUACAUUUACUUUGAAAUCUUGAGAAAUCAAUAUGAAUUUAGAAUUUUAACUUAUAGUUUUUAAUAAGUAAUGUCAAGAUUAUUUAAUGUUCAAUUUAUUUUUAUUUAUAUAGGGCUUGUUCACAAUGUUGUGUUAAUUCAAGAAGCUUUACAAGAAAAAAUCGAACUAUUUAUAUGUAUAUAUCUUCAAUAUAGGAAAGAAUACAUGACAUUAAUGCAAAGUAAUUUUUUUAUGAAAAGUUUAAUAGAAGGAUGUUGUUAGAUCGUAGGAUCUGAAUUUCCUAAAAGCAACCUGUUAGUGCGUGUGUAUUUUCUAAAGAUGAUUAAAU
Triplophysa dalaica is the source of this 1378-nucleotide long non-coding RNA. RefSeq lists it as uncharacterized. The record is from RefSeq and is a predicted model, not a curated record. The transcript is spliced from 4 exons. Lineage: Eukaryota; Metazoa; Chordata; Actinopteri; Cypriniformes; Nemacheilidae.